RNAcentral lists this ribosomal RNA (421 nucleotides) under uncultured Glomeromycotina. RNAcentral describes it as "SSU rRNA". It matches the Rfam family "Eukaryotic small subunit ribosomal RNA", at positions 670 to 1092 of the family's 1831-position model. The record is from RNAcentral. Lineage: Eukaryota; Fungi; Glomeromycota.
UCGGUAUGUACUGGCUUUACUGAUUCCUCCUUCUUGACGAACCGUGAUGUCAUUAAUUUGGUGUUGCGGGAAAUCAGGACUGUUACUUUGAAAAAAUUAGAGUGUUUAAAGCAGGCUAACGCUUGAAUACAUUAGCAUGGAAUAAUGAAAUAGGACGUUAAUCCUAUUUUGUUGGUUUCUAGGAUCGACGUAAUGAUUAAUAGGGAUAGUUGGGGGCAUUAGUAUUCAAUUGUCAGAGGUGAAAUUCUUGGAUUUAUUGAAGACUAACUACUGCGAAAGCAUUUGCCAAGGAUGUUUUCAUUAACCAAGAACGAAAGUUAGGGGAUCGAAGACGAUCAGAUACCGUCGUAGUCUUAACCAUAAACUAUGCCGACUAGGGAUCGGAUGAUGUUAUUUUUAAUGACUCAUUCGGCGCCUUACG